AUAGCUUCUCAUAGUUUUCUAUCAAUGUCUUUCCUCUGUCAUGUACAUGUGUGCCCUCCCUCUUUCUGCUGUACACUCCCCCUCCCUCUCGCCAACUUGUUCUCAUCUCUCUCUCUCUCUCUCUCUCUCUCAUGUACAUACAGGAGUAGGUGGAGGACACACUCUCUCACACACACAACACAGUAGAACAUGUCAGACUCAGAGACCGCAGCUCCCGCCGAGACGCCCGUCCCCGCCGCCUGUGAGGCCAUCAAGGCUGAUCUGGACAAAUGUAUAAAGGAGAAUGGAGAAGCAGCGUGUAAGGAGCUGAUGGAGGCCUUCGCUGCCUGUGUAAAGAGCAGCGCUGAGGGGUCCUGAGGAACUCCACACACAGGACAUGUAAAGUCCACUGCACUGAGUCCUCCACCUUCCCAGCAUUCCCUUCAGCACUGGACUGAACGACUCUGGUGGGAUUUGGCAGCAGAACCCACAUGACCUUUUCCCUCCUCCUCCCCCCCUCGUCUAAGCCCCACCCACCUAUAGAGCUUAAAUGAUUUCUUCCUGCCCCUCCUUUCCCUUGCAGCCAAAUGCAUCGAUCAGAUCUGUAGACAGUUUGGGAGCCCGUGGGUUUUAUGUAAAUUGUCUGUUCGAGAUGCUUACAUAAUGGUGAAAUAAAGUUUAAAAGAUUGUUAUGACUUC
Molecule: long non-coding RNA, 678 nt
Filed under: Astyanax mexicanus (Mexican tetra)
Lineage: Eukaryota; Metazoa; Chordata; Actinopteri; Characiformes; Acestrorhamphidae
Description: lncRNA (ENSAMXG00005020328.1)
Source: RNAcentral